UACGUAGGAGACGAGCGUUGUCCGGAAUCACUGGGCGUAAAGCGCGCGCAGGCGGCGAUCUACGUCUGGGGUGAAAGCCCGGAGCUCAACUCCGGGACUGCCUUGGAUACGGGAUCGCUUGAGGGUUGGAGAGGCAAGGGGAAUUCCACGUGUAGCGGUGAAAUGCGUAGAUAUGUGGAGGAACACCUGUGGCGAAGGCGCCUUGCUGGCCAAUUUCUGACGCUGAGGCGCGAAAGCGUGGGGAGCAAACAGG
Molecule: ribosomal RNA, 253 nt
Filed under: uncultured bacterium
Lineage: Bacteria
Description: partial 16S ribosomal RNA
Rfam family: Bacterial small subunit ribosomal RNA
Source: RNAcentral